RNAcentral lists this long non-coding RNA (1258 nucleotides) under Eucalyptus grandis. Its description in RNAcentral is "long non-coding RNA (EGRA_LNC006365)". Lineage: Eukaryota; Viridiplantae; Streptophyta; Magnoliopsida; Myrtales; Myrtaceae. The record is from RNAcentral.
AACCAACUUGACAAUAACAAAUCACAUAAAAGAUAAUAUUGAUAUCCAAAAAUUGGCGAACCGUAUCUCGCGCAUGAGAUCGGGUAGACCAAUUUUAAUUUUAAAUCGCGAAUCAAAUCUCGGGCUUGAGAUUGGAUUGUCGAUUUUUAUAAGGGAUUGCGAGUCGGAUUUCGGGCGCGAAAAUCGGACUGUCAAUCCCUAGCUUGAGGGACUAUUUCAUAUUGGAUCUCAAUCACAUAUUUAGGAACAAUUCUACUAAAACAGCAUAUUAAAGAAAUAAUAAUAAAAAUAAUAAAAGAAAAACUACCUAAUCUGAUUUUUUUCCUCUUUUUCUGUUUUCUUUUUCUGCCUUCUUGAGCACAGCUUGCUCGUAGGUCUCCAAGGACAGGUGGUCACUGAUCGGAGGCGGAGCAGCUGCUGGGCAAUCACGGGCGAGUGACAGAGCAGGGCAGGAGCGGCGUCGGCAGGGGAAGCGUCGAGCUGGGUUCGGGCCUUCUGUCGUCGGGGACCUCGGAGCAGCACAGCAACAGCUUCGUCGGACGGAACAGAGGCGUCACGGGUGGAGGCGCUGCAGGGGCAUCGGACGGACGGGCUGGAGCGGAUCACCGCUGAAGGCGGGGCAGCGUUGCUGCGUCUGGGCGGAAGGUUCGGGUCGUCGCGAGGAGGCGAUCGGCGAUUGCUGGUGUCGCGUCGCCGCGGGUGGAGCGACGGGCGGUGAUGGGCAGAUUUGGCUCGAGCCCGGUCUGCAGAGCUUUGGUGGACCGGAGCGGCAGAUCAGGUUCCGAGCAAGUGCGGGGACGGAGGCCGAGGGGGUCCGGCGGUGAUUAAUGCGGCUGAGCGAUGCAGGCACGGCCGGUGGAGGCGCUGCAGGGCGUCGGGGCGGCUCGAGCUUCAGGCACCGGGGCUCGCGGUGAAGGUCAGCGAGAGGUUGCAGACGGAGCGGCGUGCAGCUGACGGACGUCGGGGCUCGGAUGCCGGCACGGGCGAGCGGGGACGGCGCAGCGGCGUGGCGUCGGCGAGGCGAGCGAACCAGUGGCGGUGCGGACGCACGGCUGUGGAAGCCCUGCGGAUGGAAGUUGCAGAGGAGGGGCAGCGGACUUGAGGAAGAUGAUGAAUAGUAGGGGUCAAAUCACCUUUUUGCCCUUUUCACCUUUCUCCCCUCUCUUUCUCUCUCUCUCACGUUCUGACUUUUCCUUUUUCUUUUCUUUUUCUCGCAGAAGCCAAAACCUCUCUUGACCUUUCUCUUCACUUAUUUCUG